GCCUGGGAAUAUGCCUUAGUGUGGGGGAUAACUAUUGGAAACGAUAGCUAAUACCGCAUAAUGUCUUCGGACCAAAGAGGGGGGACCGUUCGGGCCUCUCGCGCUAAGAUUAGUCCCAGGUGAGAUUAGCUAGUUGGUGAGGUAAGAGCUCACCAACGGCGACGAUCUCUAGCUGGUCUGAGAGGAUGAUCAGCCACACUGGAACUGGGACACGGUCCAGACUCCUACGGGAGGCAGCAGUGGGGAAUAUUGCACAAUGGGCGAAAGCCUGAUGCAGCCAUGCCGCGUGUAUGAAGAAGG
RNAcentral lists this ribosomal RNA (300 nucleotides) under uncultured Aliivibrio sp. RNAcentral's name for it is "bacterial SSU rRNA". It matches the Rfam family "Bacterial small subunit ribosomal RNA", at positions 115 to 414 of the family's 1533-position model. Lineage: Bacteria; Pseudomonadati; Pseudomonadota; Gammaproteobacteria; Vibrionales; Vibrionaceae. The record is from RNAcentral.